Molecule: signal recognition particle RNA, 87 nt
Filed under: bovine gut metagenome
Description: Bacterial small signal recognition particle RNA
Rfam family: Bacterial small signal recognition particle RNA
About the family: The signal recognition particle (SRP) is a universally conserved ribonucleoprotein involved in the co-translational targeting of proteins to membranes.
Source: RNAcentral
UGGUCCCCAUGCGGCGCGCCGCGGCAAAACCCCGCCAGGGCCGGAAGGCAGCAACGGUAUGCCGUCUGGCGCGGGCGCGAGGGUGUC